CCUACGGGAGGCAGCAGUGAGGAAUAUUGGUCAAUGGGCGCAAGCCUGAACCAGCCAAGUCGCGUGAGGGAUGAUGGUCCUAUGGAUUGUAAACCUCUUUUGUCGGGGAGCAAGGCCCGCCACGUGUGGCGGGAAGGAGAGUACCCGAAGAAAAAGCAUCGGCUAACUCCGUGCCAGCAGCCGCGGUAAUACGGAGGAUGCGAGCGUUAUCCGGAUUUAUUGGGUGUAAAGGGAGCGUAGACGGCAAGGCAAGCCAGAAGUGAAAGGGCAGGGCUCAACCCUGUACAUGCUUUUGGAACUGUGGUGCUAGAGUGCAGGAGAGGUAAGUGGAAUUCCUAGUGUAGCGGUGAAAUGCGUAGAUAUUAGGAGGAACACCAGUGGCGAAGGCGGCUUACUGGACUGUAACUGACGUUGAGGCUCGAAAGCCAGGGUAGCAAAUGGGAUUAGAUACCCGAGUAGUC
Molecule: ribosomal RNA, 461 nt
Filed under: uncultured bacterium
Lineage: Bacteria
Description: partial 16S ribosomal RNA
Rfam family: Bacterial small subunit ribosomal RNA
Source: RNAcentral